AAGGUCAGCCCUCUGCUUAUUAUCCUUGUAGCCCGUAUCUUACUUCUGGUUUCUUUUUGAUUGUGAAAAGUUGCCAUUGAAAUGAGGCAUUGAUAAGAAAAAUGCCCCAACUUUUACUGUUCAAUGUUAUAUCUUAGCACAGCUCGUAACAUCAUUUUAUAUACCAUAAUGGCAUAAUCUCUAUCCACCUGUGAAUUGUUGGCAUGGAGCGCUAACAUGUAUCUAUAUUUUUUUUUAGUUCAUAACAAGUGUCAAUAUUUUUAAUGCGUCGUUAAAUAAUAAGUGAUGGGACAAGUAGCAGAAAUUAAUUGAUGUUUCGUUUCACUUUAGGUGAACAUCUCUUAAGAAAAUGGGUCAGACCUAACUCAUCCUAUAACCUAAAAGUUAAGUUAGCUUAGCUCAAGGCCUUAUAAGGCGCAUUACCCUAUCCCAAACCAAUGUGGACACACCCUCUCUCACGUAAUCCAAACACUUGGAGAGUGUGAAACACUUAUGAGAGGCCCAA
Molecule: unclassified non-coding RNA, 505 nt
Filed under: Hevea brasiliensis (rubber tree)
Lineage: Eukaryota; Viridiplantae; Streptophyta; Magnoliopsida; Malpighiales; Euphorbiaceae
Source: RNAcentral